Molecule: long non-coding RNA, 1929 nt
Filed under: Coffea arabica (coffee)
Lineage: Eukaryota; Viridiplantae; Streptophyta; Magnoliopsida; Gentianales; Rubiaceae
Description: long non-coding RNA (CARA_LNC004037)
Source: RNAcentral
UAAAUUUCAUCUUGUAUCUUUUCCUUUCUUUGGAUUGUUAGAAGUUUUUAAAGAAGGGUGGAAAUAGAUUAUGAUAUGUGGUCAGGACAAGUUGCAGGUCUCAACAGUGCUUCUUGUGAUUCUUAUAUAUUGCCUAAUGAUAAAGGUUUCUAGGUGUUCAAGCCUUACCAUCUGAGUUGGCGCAAGUACGUACUGAGCCUUUAAUUCAUCCAAGAAUGGUCACUAACAUGAGAUAAGCAAAAACAACCAUCCCAGCUUGAUAUGAGACAUCUUCUAGUAUUAUUCACUGGAUUCAAUUCAUGCAGGGUGUGCCUAAGGAUAAGAUCUUCAACAUCACUGGUAUGAAAUGACAGUAUACUAAAUGCCUCUCCACCUCCAAGCUAAGUUGGUUGUUAGAUGCUUAAAAACUUUGUCAGGAAAGAACCCCAAAAGUCAAAUUUGUCAGGGCUCAUCCUGUCAUUUCUCAAGCUCAAAGGAAAGGGGGAACCUCUUAACUGGUUAACUCUCUACCAUCAAAACAGAACCAAAAUACCAGAUGGACAGAGAAAGCACACAACUGUUUUUUUCUUCACAUUUGAAUUCUUAAAUCAUGUCUUUUUCACAUUUUCCUAUCAUACAACUUUUUUUUUUUUUUUUCCACAGCUCUGCAGGACUUGUAUGUUAAAAAUUUGGAUAAAGCAAAACAUAUAUUUUGACCUUUGAUUACUUUUAGAUUUAGCAUCAAAAGAAGUAUGAGAAGAAAAACCUUCAAUGCCAAGAAGCAGAUUGCUUUUUAAUAUGUAAAAUCAGCGACUAAGUGCUAUGACCUUUCUUAUGCUGGAAUAUUGACAUACGUAUAACGGAUGCAGUGAUGCACACUGUUAAGGGAUCAAGAAACAAACUAGGAGUGCUACUAUCUUGCUGUAAAGCUAAAUAUCUGAUCUUAUGCUCCACAGAAGCUUGUAUGGUUAACCAAAAAGAUCAUCUAUUACCAGCGUCAAAAAUCCGCUUGAAUUGGAAGUUUGCAUAUUUCCAUCAUGAAGGAAGAGAAGAGAAACAGCUCGCUGAACGAACAAGUGAUGAUUGAUUGACUUCCCGAACGGGGCAGCUUGAAGAGGAUCUCAAACUUCUGGGAGCAUCCAAACUUUUCCUUAGAAGCUUUCCCAUGGCGAACAUGGGAUGCUCAGAACUCGAAGGAGGACUGGUAGACUGGAAGUUUCUGCAGAAGCUGAUGUGCCUAUUCAAAGCUUCUUCGGUACUGAUCAGUCUUUCUGAUUUCAAGACUUCAACUUUCACUGCUUCAAUGCAAAGACCACAAAGCCACAUUCCACAAUACCUUUGGCGGAUUCGAGAUAUGUAGGCUACAGUACACUCCUCUGUGAAUCCACAGGACUCACAGUUGAUGAACUCAACCUCUUCUUCAGCACUCGAAGAUAUUUCCAUUAAUCUGAAUCUCCCAAGAGACAAGAAAACACGCGUACCCUUUUAACUCUCAGAAGGCCCUGAAGUCAAUGAAACGUGAAACAAUCCUUGGACGUGCUGCUACUUAUAAGAUUGGAACUUUCCAGUGGCUUUUAUGUUACUUGGGACCAAAUGAUUUAGCCACAGGUUUGAGUAUACAUUGUGCAGGUAAUUGUCUGCCUUACCGCGUAUGAAUACGUACACACUCGAACCGUGAGGUAAAGAUUAAAAAAAGAAAUGCAAACGUGAUGGUUUUAUCAUUUAUAUGGCUAAUGAAACUCGACAAGGCAACACGUUAUCAUCACUCAUCAGCAAUCAUGUCAUGUCAUGUGUUAACAUGACAUUUUGUUUUCAUUCUUGGUUGUCCAUUGCCCACGCUUUUAUCCAAGUCAAUCUCCAGUUGUACAUCAUUAAAUUUUUCUGCUUCCCCUCUGUUACGUUUUCACCGUACCAAAUCAUAUAGUUUAAUAAACUAAUGGUACAUUUAUG